RNAcentral lists this transfer RNA (74 nucleotides) under bacterium. RNAcentral's name for it is "tRNA-Gly". It matches the Rfam family "tRNA". From Rfam's summary of the family: Transfer RNA (tRNA) molecules are approximately 80 nucleotides in length. Their secondary structure includes four short double-helical elements and three loops (D, anti-codon, and T loops). The record is from RNAcentral.
GCGGGCAUGGUAUAAUGGUAGCACGUCAGCUUCCCAAGCUGAAGACGAGGGUUCGAUUCCCUUUGCCCGCACCA